RNAcentral lists this long non-coding RNA (6608 nucleotides) under Cicer arietinum (chickpea). RNAcentral describes it as "long non-coding RNA (CARI_LNC000782)". Lineage: Eukaryota; Viridiplantae; Streptophyta; Magnoliopsida; Fabales; Fabaceae. The record is from RNAcentral.
UUCCUUGUGGAUAAUAUCCCAAUCAGAGUGUUCAAGAACAACAAGGACUUGGGAGUAAAAUUUCCAUUUAACCAAGCAAUGAAGGUAUACAACAGUCUAUGGAAUGCAGAUGAUUGGGCAACAAGGGGUGGUUUAGAGAAAACAGAUUGGUCAAAAGCACCAUUCAUAGCUGGAUACAAAAGUUUCCACAUUGAUGGUUGUGAAGCCUCUGUUAAUGCUAAGUUUUGUGGCACACAAGGUAAAAGAUGGUGGGAUCAACCUGAAUUUCGUGAUCUUGAUGCUGCUCAAUGGAGAAGAUUAAAAUGGGUGCGUAGGAAGUACACUAUUUACAACUAUUGCACUGAUAGAAAACGUUUACCUCAAAUACCACCUGAAUGUACAAGAGACCGUGACAUUUAAUUUUUCAUAUACUCUCUAUUUUUAAUAUUGCUUUACCAUUAAUUUUUCAUCUAUUUCUUGUAUCAUUAUUUAUUGCCACCAUACUAUGUAUCUGUGAUUCUAUAUUUAUUGGAUAUUUUCUAUUAAUGAUAAUAACAAUAUUUUAUUAUUGGAUUGCUACACUCAUUUCUAAUCUCUCCAAGCAAUUUCCGGGUUUUUGGAAAUUUAUUAUAAUAGCGGUGAAAAAAAUUAAUCAGUUAUGUAUUAAGCACAUGAGUGAAGAUCAUUUAAUAGUUUUAAACCCAGUUAUAGUCUUCUCAAUCAGACUAUUUGGUCCAUUAUAUAGUUACACUGUACAAGGACUAAAUUGUCUAUAAUUAAAAUAUUAUAAUGACUCCAAUAAUACACUUAAUUAUAAUGCAAAAUCAGCAUAGGUGUUCAUUGUUCUCAAUUUUCAGCCUAACAGGUUUGGAAGACAUUAAUUUAAUUUUGUUACACGAGUGUUUGUUUGUUUCGAAAGUUAUUGAGUUUAUUAUAAUCAAAUUAGAAUUGGUGUGGGCCGGUUGAGAAAUUUCUACCUAGUGUGAAAAUUAAAAUCAAUAAAACUAGUCCUUUGUAAUUUCUCACUUAAAGCAAAUUAAUUCCACUACAUUUAAAAGAACCCACUACUGUUUUUAGACAAACAUAGGCCAGAGAAAGUCUUGUAUAGACAUGGACACAUCAUCAUUUAAAAUCACACUUUAAAAGGAAAAAUAAAGUAGAAAAUAAAUAAUUAAAUAAUAUAUUUUAAAAAUAAUUAAAUAAUUUUUUUUGUGUGUACGUGUGUUAAAAUAAUAUUUAUUUGGGAUCGUGUCCAUAUAAGUAUUUUUUUAUAGGUCAUUGUCAUUCCACACUUUAAUAUAAUUUUUAUAUUAAUAGUAAUGUAGUAGUGUAUUGUUAUUAUAUAUUACUUUCUAUGCCGACAUAUAAAGAAAAAUAAAUGUUUUAUAUUUUUAGUUUUCAAUAAAAUAUUAAUUAUUUUUUUAAUUGUACCUUAUAAUUAAUAUUAUGUGCAUCACAAUUAAAUUAUAAUUAUCUUUUAUUUUGUAUAUUUUCGGAUAACAAUAAACACAUCAAUAAUAAACAAGAAUAAUUUAGUAAACUUAGUACUCUUUUAUUUAUGUUCAUUUUUUUGACAAAUAUGAAUGGAUGGAGUAAUAAGUAUAAUAAAUAGUGUACCAAUAAUAAUAAAAUAUUGUCAAAAAACCUCUGAGUUUCUUUUUUCAUAUCAAAAAAUUUUAAGAUGUCCUAAAUAAAAUUAAUUUUUUUUAGAUGUUGUCUUAAUUGUUUUGAAAAUCAAUACUACACUUGACUAUAUAACUCAAUUUUUAUUGGUGAUUAUAUCUUGUCUUGGUCCCUUAAAUCAAAUUAUUCUGCCUAUAAUUAUCAUAAUUCAGCGUCUACUUGUUAAAAUGUCACAUAUCUAUUUAAUAUCCAACUCAUAUAGAUAUCAAAACUGAUUUACUUAUUUACAAAAUUUAGGGAUUAAAAUUUUCGUUGUACUUUGUUAUUUCUAUAUAACCAAAUUCAUCAUUACUCAUAUCUAUUUUUUUCUUAAAUUAUUUUGGAAUAUAUUUCUCAUCAAAUUAGGUGCAUGUAUAUAUAAUGUAAAGGUUGUGUUAUAGGGUAGGUCGUUGUGGAUAAUGUAGCGAGUUCCUUCUUAAUUAUCUUCCAUCCACUACAACUGCCAUUGAUCAUAGCCAAAGUCACAUAGCCUAGUAACCCACAUGCACAAGCUUAGCAUCAUAUAUUUAUGAUCGACACAUGACCCAUGGGAAUAUAUAGUUUAUUGGAUUUGUGAAUUGUAUGAUUAGUAAAUUUAACUAUAAUCAUUUAUAAGAUCCCAUCAUUAUAUCUGCAUGUUAGUUGUUUUUUUAAACCUAUGCAUGUUAGUUGUAGUUGAAAUUAUUUGCGAUGAUUAUAUAAUUGUUGUAGGUUAUAUCUUUCUUUUUUUAAAUAAUCACGCGUAAUUAUUUUAAAUUCAUUUUACAUUAAAAUAUUUAAAUACUUACAGUAUAUUUCAGUUUUUAUUCAACUUUAAUGUAAAAUUAAUUUAUAGUGCAUCUUUUAAUUCACACUUAUACAUCUAUUUGUCUUAAAACAAUCAAAGCCAAAUUUUUUAUGGAUGUAAAUAAACAUAGAACUCUAUUGACUAAAUUGUGACAAUUAAAAAAAUUGAUAAUACUAUUAAUGUUUUUUUAAUAAAAUUGAUAUUACUUUAAAAAAAUUCCCUUUAAAGAGAGGAUAAGUUUAUGUUCCAUCAUAUAAUAUAUGUAUUGUUGACUGCAAAAAAAAAAAAGUAAAUAUAUUAGAAAAUUUAAAAUUAAUGACAUAAUAAAAAAAUAACAAAAAAUAAUUAAUGUAAUUUAAAAUUUGAAAAAAUGAUAUUAUAUAAAAAAGGACAAGAAAGUUUCUCAAAAGAAUCUUAUAUUUAAAGAUAAAUAAAAUAUUAUUAUUGUACUAUAAAAGUCAACACAACAUGUACAAAAAAAAUUAAUGCAAAUUUUUUUUUCUAAUUUAAAAAACUUCAUCUUAUAAGAUUACUACAGUGAGACGGAAAAUUAAUGAAAAUAUUAAUUUAUUUAAGAUAUUAUUAUGGAAAUUUUUCUAUCUCUAUUUUCUUCCUCUACAAAUUUCCCUAAAGAUUCAUAAUUCUAAAAUUAAAUAGAAGAAAAUCACAACAAAAGUUAAUAAUACUACUUAAAAAUUACAAAUUAGGUUUUAAAAUUGAGAAGGAGACAACCCAAAGUUAGAUGAAUUAGGAAUAAUACAUCUAUUGAUAAAAAAAAAAAAAAUUAUAUAUGCUUACAAUGGCUGCCAUAGAAUUCUCCAUUAAUUGUACCCAAAAUAAAAUUAUCCAUUAGUCAAACAUAUUCUCCAAAAUGUAAAUCAUGUUAAAAGAUAAUUAAUGUUUGAGUUAAUCAUAUUUUAAGUUUUAUAAUUUAAAUUGGUUGUCCGUUUUAGUCCCUUAAGCUUCUAAUUUUGUUUGUCUUUCAAUUUCUAAAAUAUGUUACAAUUAGUUUAUUUUAAUCCUUAGCUACAUUGUAGGUUUUCGUUGGACUUUGGUCUCUAAUAAUUAAUUUAUGUUCGAUUAAUUUCUUAAAAAAAUGUAAAAAUUAAAUAUAAUGUAGUGACAAAAAUGAGAAAAUUAUAGGAUGAAAACAAAGCAAUGAUGACCACCUGUAAUACGUUUUAAAAUAACAAGACAAACUUAAAAUUUAGAGAAAUAGAGUACCAAAUAGGAACUCUCAUCGGAGAGACUAUUAAGUGGGUGCUUAUUGGAGAUAAAUAUUUUAUUAAACACUAUCUCUAUUCGGUUACUAAAAAAACAUUAUUUCUAUCUAAGUGAUUCAAACAAUUUUAAUAUUAAAAUAUACAAGUGUAAUGAUACAAAGAUAUUAAAUGUUUAUUAAAUAUUAUCAUUAAAAAAUGAUAAAUUAAUAAUGAUUUUAAUUAAAAUUUACUAAAGUAAUUAAAAAUAAGCUUCACCACUAUAUAAAGUUAGAACACAACUAACUCGAGUAAAAGUGGCUUGAGUUGGUUCGCAAACUAUGAAUAAAAAAUAUUUUUUAUUCUAAAAAAAUUAAAUUAAAUUUAAAUAUUAAAAUAUUAAAAUAUUUUAAAAAUUAUAAAAUUUUAUCUAAGCAAAUUAUUUAAUAUUUAAAAUACAUUAAUAAAUAUAAUAAAACACUUAAAUAAAUUUAAUUAAUAACAAAUUAUCAAAUAAAAUUUAAUAACUAAAUUAUAAUUAUACAUAAAUAAUAUAAAAAUAUUUAUGUUAUGUUAAUGAGUUGAAUUAAGAGUUCUGUGAAUUCAAAAUGUUAAAUUUGCUACACAAAGUAAACACCAUUAAAUUUAAAUGGAUUGAUUUGAAUUAUAUAUAAACUUAAACGAGUGAAUCAAAACACAUGUGAGAUCGCAAUUCAUUUAUGUCCGAAACUCCUAUUUAUCACUAGUGCUUAUGCUCUUACGAAACUAAAAACAUGAUUUAAUCCAAAUUAUUCCUCUUAUCAAAAUGAGUUGUCAUUGGUUGUUACAUUGAAUGAAUUAAAAUCAUCAUGCAUAAUCACAAAAAGAAAAAAAACAACGAGUACUAAUGUAAUGACACCCAUAUACACAUUUUGAUGGUAAAAUUAAUAUAGUACUCUAAUUGAGAAAUGAUGAAUGAUUAGCUAAUAGGGUCCCAAUAUCAGCUGGUUAUCCAACACUAAAAUCACAACAGAGGCUAAUACAUGAUUCUUGCUUCCCACCCUCCAAGAAAUAAAAUUAUAACAACAAGAUAAGUAUUAAAGAAAGAGAGAGGAACAUGGGUCUAACCCUCUAAAACAUAGUCUUUUUUAGGCUUAUAAAAACCCAAGUUUAGCCACAAGCAUUUUCACAACAACACGAAAAUGAGUUCUAGUUUUUCAUUUUGGACUCUCUGUCUCAUUUUAGCAUCACUAGUCUCUUCUUCUUUCUGUGCUGCUCCAAGGAAACCAGUGGAUGUUCCAUUUGGCAGAAACUAUUACCCAACUUGGGCUUUUGAUCAUAUCAAAUACUUCAAUGGUGGUUCUGAGAUUCAGCUUCAUCUUGAUAAAUCCACUGGUUAGUUUUUAACUAAUUAAAGUUCAUGUUUUUAAACUUGUUUUUACAUUGUUCAUUUUUCUAAGUUCUAACAUCUUUUGAAAAAUGAAUAGGUACUGGUUUUCAAUCCAAAGGUUCAUACUUGUUUGGUCAUUUUAGUAUGAACAUUAAGAUGGUUCCUGGUGAUUCAGCUGGAACAGUCACUGCUUUCUAUGUAUGUAUAUUUUUUUAUGAUUCUAUCUUAGUAUUUGGUUAGAUUUGUGAGUGUGACAUUUGGUAUAUUUUACAGUUAUCUUCAACAAAUUCUGAGCAUGAUGAAAUAGAUUUUGAGUUCUUGGGGAACAGAACAGGACAACCUUAUAUUUUGCAAACAAAUGUGUUCACUGGUGGUCAAGGUAACAAAGAACAAAGGAUCUUUCUUUGGUUUGAUCCUACAAAAGAGUUCCACAGAUACUCCAUUCUAUGGAAUAUGUACCAGAUUGUGUAAGUACUUGAAACUCAUCUAUUGUGCCAUUCCCCUUAAUCCAAAACAAUCUUGCAUACCCUUUUCACCAUUCCAUUAUACACCCCCAAAAUCUAUUUCCCUUUUUAGAUUUUAUUAAAUUUUUUUAUUGGCCAAAUUCAUCCGUUCAAUCAUUUUUUAUAAAUUUUUGUUUGUGUUUUUUUUUUUACACAAUACUAUUAGAGUUAGUGCAUAUAUAUAAUUGGUGGGCGACUAAAUUAAUAUGCUAUGAUAUUGUAUUGGAUUUGUUUUAUAUUUGGUAAAAAAUGAUUUUUGUUUUACAAUGCUUAAGGAUAAAAAUCCAAAUGGGGUUCUAGAUUUUAAAUCAUGACAUUUUUUGGGGGAAAAAGAAAAUCAAAUAUCACAUGAACAGAGAUAAAGCUGGAAAAUAGUUACACAAGAAGCUGAUUUUUAAGAAUUAAUUAGACCUUAUGUAAAAAUCUAGUUUACAUUGUAGCUAAUAUUAUUUUAGAUAAAUAAAUGUUAGUAAAUUAGUGACAUUGUUAAAUUUUUAUGUUUGAACUAAGAACCUCCUUUUAUAAACUUCUUAGAUGUAUGAAAAUAUGGCUAAUGUGAUCUCAAUUGCAAUUGUAUUUUAAUCCAAAUCCAAAUUUUGGUUACUAAUUUUCCUUAUAAUAUGAUAUGGGGUAUGCAGGUUUUUUGUGGACGAUGUUCCCAUAAGAGUAUUCAAGAACAGCAAGGAUUUGGGAGUAAAAUUUCCAUUUGACCAACCAAUGAAAAUAUACAAUAGUUUAUGGAAUGCAGAUGAUUGGGCAACAAGGGGUGGUUUAGAGAAAACAGAUUGGUCAAAAGCACCAUUCGUAGCUGGAUACAAAAGCUUCCACAUUGAUGGUUGUGAAGCCUCUGUUAAUGCUAAGUUUUGUGCUACACAAGGUAAAAGAUGGUGGGAUCAACCUGAAUUUCGUGAUCUUGAUGCUGCUCAAUGGAGAAGAUUAAGGUGGGUUCGUCAAAAAUUCACCAUUUACAACUAUUGCACUGAUCGAAAACGUUUACCUCAAAUACCACCUGAAUGUACAAGAGACCGUGACAUUUAAAUUUUCAUAUACUCUAUUUGGUCUAAUUUAUGUUAUGUUUUCAAAUACCAUGUCACAUUGUUGUCAAGGAU